This is a non-coding RNA of Paramuricea clavata, 496 nucleotides long. NCBI's taxonomy places the organism in Eukaryota, Metazoa, Cnidaria, Anthozoa, Malacalcyonacea, Plexauridae. The record is from the annotation of a GenBank genome assembly.
CCAUAUAAACACUUCAUCCCGGUUAGGCGAAAUGAAUUUUCCCCUUUUGAGCAUGCGUAAAUGCCUUUAUUGCAACAAAAAUAUGACGUCAAGCACCGAAUGGUUUCAUCCCGGCAAUGUAUUUUGUCCAUAUAAACACUAGGCGAGUAUCCUGUCUUGGCGGGAUGAAAACGUCCCGUCCCAUCUAGGCGGGAUCAUAUAAACAGGCCCUAAGGAAUUGAAAGAUUUUAUAAGCGAGCAAUGCUUAAAAGCAAGAUUAUAAACAAUGAAAGAAAUGGCACUAACAGAGCCACAACUUCUCCAGAAGUGUAAAAUUCCAUGAUACUGAAUCACAGUUUGCAAGUCAAUCCUUCAAAAUUUAGUUAAAUGUUUCCAAAACUUCAGUCAACAUAGUUUUGUAGUGCACCCAUCUUAAGGGUUCCUUUCAGCUUUCACCUUGCCAAGACCUGUCACUAAAUUAUGGGUUGCCUGAAUAGAUAUAAUUCCUCAAAUCAUG